CCUACGGGAGGCAGCAGUGGGGGAUCUUGCACAAUGGAGGAAACUCUGAUGCAGCGACGCCGCGUGAGUGAAGACGGUCUUCGGAUCGUAAACCUCUGUCUUUGGGGAAGAACAUGACGGUACCCAAAGAGGAAGCUCCUGCUAACUACGUGCCAGCAGCCGCGGUAAUACGUAGGGAGAGAGCGUUGUCCGGAAUUAAUGGGUGUAACGGGAGCGUAGGCGGGCGAGAAAGUUGAAUGUUAAAUCUACCGGCUAAACGGGGAGCGGCGUUCAACACUUCUUGUCUUGAGUGAAGUAGAGGCAGGCGGAAUUCCUAGUGUAGCGGUGAAAUGCGUAGAGAUUAGGAGGAACACCAGUGGCGAAGGCGGCCUGCUGGGCUUUAACUGACGCUGAGGCUCGAAAGCGUGGGGAGCAAACAGGAUUAGAUACCCUUGUAGUC
This 439-nucleotide ribosomal RNA is filed under the name uncultured bacterium. RNAcentral's name for it is "partial 16S ribosomal RNA". It matches the Rfam family "Bacterial small subunit ribosomal RNA", at positions 338 to 795 of the family's 1533-position model. The record is from RNAcentral.